Molecule: ribosomal RNA, 206 nt
Filed under: uncultured bacterium
Lineage: Bacteria
Description: partial 16S ribosomal RNA
Rfam family: Bacterial small subunit ribosomal RNA
Source: RNAcentral
CGCGUAGGCGGUUGAUGCAGUCAGAUGUGAAAUCCCCGGGCUUAACCUGGGAACUGCAUUUGAGACGCAUUGACUAGAGUUCGAGAGAGGGUUGUGGAAUUCCCAGUGUAGAGGUGAAAUGCGUAGAUAUAGGAAGGAACACCAGUGGCGAAGGCGACCACCUGGACUGAUACUGACACUGAGGUGCGAAAGCGUGGGGAGCAACA